CCGAGAUGUUGGUUCGUCCAACACCUUCACACCUUUGCGAAUCGAAAUUGUUGCUUCGGCGGGACACCGUCAGGUCGUCGGCGAAAGCGGGCGAGCGCCCGCCGAACUUUCUACUCUUUUCUGAUUGCAGUCUGUUAUUACAUUAAAUGUAUAA
Molecule: unclassified non-coding RNA, 154 nt
Filed under: uncultured fungus
Lineage: Eukaryota; Fungi
Description: sequence contains ITS1, 5.8S rRNA gene
Source: RNAcentral